CAGUAGCCGCGGUAAUACGUAGGUCCCGAGCGUUGUCCGGAUUUAUUGGGCGUAAAGCAAGCGCAGGCGGUUAGAUAAGUCUGAAGUUAAAGGCUGUGGCUUAACCAUAGUACGCUUUGGAAACUGUUUAACUUGAGUGCAGAAGGGGAGAGUGGAAUUCCAUGUGUAGCGGUGAAAUGCGUAGAUAUAUGGAGGAACACCGGUGGCGAAAGCGGCUCUCUGGUCUGUAACUGACGCUGAGGCUCGAAAGCGUGGGGAGCAAACAGGAUUAGAUACCCCCGUAGUCCCUGUCUCUUAUACA
RNAcentral lists this ribosomal RNA (301 nucleotides) under uncultured bacterium. RNAcentral describes it as "partial 16S ribosomal RNA". It matches the Rfam family "Bacterial small subunit ribosomal RNA", at positions 509 to 808 of the family's 1533-position model. The record is from RNAcentral.